GACAGAGGUCUCAAGCGUUGUUCGGAUUCAUUGGGCGUAAAGGGUGCGUAGGCGGCGCGGUAAGUCGGGUGUGAAAUCUUGGAGCUUAACUCCGAAACUGCAUUCGAUACUGCCGUGCUUGAGGACUGGAGAGGAGACUGGAAUUUACGGUGUAGCGGUGAAAUGCGUAGAUAUCGGAAGGAACACCGGUGGCGAAAGCGGCGCGCUGGACCUCUUCUGACGCUGAGGCGCGAAAGCCAGGGGAGCAAACGGG
Molecule: ribosomal RNA, 253 nt
Filed under: uncultured bacterium
Lineage: Bacteria
Description: partial 16S ribosomal RNA
Rfam family: Bacterial small subunit ribosomal RNA
Source: RNAcentral